Molecule: ribosomal RNA, 468 nt
Filed under: uncultured bacterium
Lineage: Bacteria
Description: partial 16S ribosomal RNA
Rfam family: Bacterial small subunit ribosomal RNA
Source: RNAcentral
GAUGAACGCUGGCGGCGUGCUUAACACAUGCAAGUCGAACGGAAAGACCAGUGCUUGCACUGGUACUCGAGUGGCGAACGGGUGAGUAACACGUGGGUGAUCUGCCCUGCACUUCGGGAUAAGCCUGGGAAACUGGGUCUAAUACCGGAUAGGACAAUGGUUUGGAUGCCGUUGUGGAAAGUUUUUUCGGUGUGGGAUGAGCUCGCGGCCUGUCAGCUUGUUGGUGGGGUAAUGGCCUACCAAGGCGUCGACGGGUAGCCGGCCUGAGAGGGUGUACGGCCACAUUGGGACUGAGAUACGGCCCAGACUCCUACGGGAGGCAGCAGUGGGGAAUAUUGCACAAUGGGCGCAAGCCUGAUGCAGCGACGCCGCGUGGGGGAUGACGGCCUUCGGGUUGUAAACUCCUUUCGCUAGGGACGAAGCGUAUUUGUGACGGUACCUGGAGAAGAAGCACCGGCUAACUACGUG